AUACUUACCUGGCAGGGGAGACACCAGGGUCAUGAAGGUGGUUUUUCCAGGCUAAGCUUAUCCAUUGCACUCCGGAUGUGCAGACCCCUGCGAUUUCCCCAAAUGCAGGAAACUCAACUGCAUGAUUGGUGGUAGGGGGUCUGUGUUCAUGCCCUCCCUUU
RNAcentral lists this small nuclear RNA (161 nucleotides) under Dasypus novemcinctus (nine-banded armadillo). RNAcentral describes it as "U1 spliceosomal RNA (ENSDNOG00000026008.1)". It matches the Rfam family "U1 spliceosomal RNA". From Rfam's summary of the family: U1 is a small nuclear RNA (snRNA) component of the spliceosome (involved in pre-mRNA splicing). Its 5' end forms complementary base pairs with the 5' splice junction, thus defining the 5' donor site of an intron. There are significant differences in sequence and secondary structure between metazoan and yeast U1 snRNAs, the latter being much longer (568 nucleotides as compared to 164 nucleotides in human). The record is from RNAcentral. Lineage: Eukaryota; Metazoa; Chordata; Mammalia; Cingulata; Dasypodidae.